AUACGAGAACAGACUAGAGAGAAUUGGUUUUUGGUUAUGUGGUGUAUUGACGAUUGUUGACGAUUUUUCUACUCCACAAUAAGGACGAUAAACAAAAAAAUUAUUUAUUAAUUUAAUUCGUCGUAUUAAAAUGGAAUCUAGCAAAUCCGAAUCUACUCCGAAACAGGCUAUGGUAUACAUUUGCGGAGAAUGUCAUCAUGAUAACGAGAUUCGUGCCAAAGAUCCAAUUCGAUGCAGAGAAUGCGGAUACAGAAUCAUGUACAAGAAACGGACGAAGAGACUCGUUGUGUUCGAUGCACGAUAAACACACGAGCGGAUAAUGAAAAGCAGCAUGGGGUGUAGCGUUAAUUUUCUUUACAUUUAUUAGACUAUUUUCUAUGUAAAGAGUUGUACUAUCGUUCCUGCGAGAUCACUAUACAAAGACGCAUUCGUAUUAUCACGAAUCUCCCUUCGUACAAUUUGCGUUAUAAUCUCUCUGGAUCCAAUGGACGUUCCAUCGACUGAUUCCGUUUCGUGCGUAUAUAUCGAUUCAAACACUACAUAAUAUACAAAAUUCUUUAAGCAAUGUUCCUUCUUUUAUUUACAAUAAAUAAAAAUUACAUUCUCAUCAA
Wasmannia auropunctata (little fire ant) is the source of this 611-nucleotide RNA transcript. It is a transcript of the gene named DNA-directed RNA polymerases I, II, and III subunit RPABC4, with no coding region annotated. The record is from RefSeq and is a predicted model, not a curated record. NCBI's taxonomy places the organism in Eukaryota, Metazoa, Arthropoda, Insecta, Hymenoptera, Formicidae. The transcript has 4 exons.